Molecule: ribosomal RNA, 119 nt
Filed under: Pteropus alecto (black flying fox)
Lineage: Eukaryota; Metazoa; Chordata; Mammalia; Chiroptera; Pteropodidae
Source: RNAcentral
GUCUAUGGCCAUGCCACCCUGAACAAGCCCGAUCCCAUUUGAUCUUGGAAGCUAAGCAGAGUUGGGCCUGGUUAGUACUUAGAUGGGAGACCACCUAGGAAGACCAGGUAUCAUAGGCG